Molecule: long non-coding RNA, 1359 nt
Filed under: Sparus aurata (gilthead seabream)
Lineage: Eukaryota; Metazoa; Chordata; Actinopteri; Spariformes; Sparidae
Description: lncRNA (ENSSAUG00010021609.1)
Source: RNAcentral
AUGUCUUGUAUGAAUUGUCUUAUGCUUUGCAUUCUGAAAUUAAUUUGUUGUUAUUGUUUCUCCUUCCAGUUCGUUAAAUCACGAUUUGGUGGAGCACAGUCAGCCUCAGUAAAGCCAAAUUUAGUAUGUAGAAAGACUCCCAGCCCUUCUCCUUCUCCUCCAUCCACCGUGAAGACCCCGAGCCUAACUUCAUCCUCUGUGAUGACCUCCUCUAUGGCCUCCAUGAGGACCCCCAGCCCUGCUCCAUCCUCUGUGAUGACCCCCUCUAUGGCCUCCAUGAGGACCCCCAGCCCUGCUCCAUCCUCUGUGAUGACCCCCUCUAUGGCCUCCAUGAGGACCCCCAGCCCUGCUCCAUCCUCUGUGAUGACCCCCUCUGCGGCCUCCAUGAGGACCCCCAGCCCUGCUCCAUCCUCUGUGAUGACCCCCUCUGCGGCCUCCAUGAGGACACCCAGCCCUGCUCCAUCCUCUGUGAUGACCCCCUCUGCGGCCUCCAUGAGGACCCCCAGCCCUGCUCCAUCCUCUGUGAUGACCCCCUCUAUGGCCUCCAUGAGGACCCCCAGCCCUGCUCCAUCUUCUGUGAUGACCCCCUCUAUGGCCUCCAUGAGGACCCCCAGCCCUGCUCCAUCCUCUGUGAUGACCCCCUCUAUGGCCUCCAUGAGGACCCCCAGCCCUGCUCCAUCCUCUGUGAUGACCCCCUCUGCGGCCUCCAUGAGGACACCCAGCCCUGCUCCAUCCUCUGUGAUGACCCCCUCUGCGGCCUCCAUGAGGACCCUCAGCCCUGCUCCAUCCUCUGUGAUGACCCCCUCUAUGGCCUCCAUGAGGACACCCAGCCCUGCUCCAUCCUCUGUGAUGACCCCCUCUGCGGCCUCCAUGAGGACCCCCAGCCCUGCUCCAUCCUCUGUGAUGACCCCCUCUAUGGCCUCCAUGAGGACCCCCAGCCCUGCUCCAUCCUCUGUGAUGACCCCCUCUAUGGCCUCCAUGAGGACCCCCAGCCCUGCUCCAUCCUCUGUGAUGACCCCCUCUGCGGCCUCCAUGAGGACACCCAGCCCUGCUCCAUCCUCUGUGAUGACCCCCUCUAUGGCCUCCAUGAGGACCCUCAGCCCUGCUCCAUCCUCUGUGAUGACCCCCUCUAUGGCCUCCAUGAGGACCCUCAGCCCUGCUCCAUCCUCUGUGAUGACCCCCUCUAUGGCCUCCAUGAGGACACCCAGCCCUGCUCCAUCCUCUGUGAUGACCCCCUCUGCGGCCUCCAUGAGGACACCCAGCCCUGCUCCAUCCUCUGUGAUGACCCCCUCUAUGGCCUCCAUGAGGACCCCCAGCCCUGCUCCAUCCUCUGUGAUGACCCCCUCUAUGCCUCCAUGA